RNAcentral lists this ribosomal RNA (1471 nucleotides) under Mammaliicoccus sciuri. RNAcentral describes it as "bacterial SSU rRNA". It matches the Rfam family "Bacterial small subunit ribosomal RNA". Lineage: Bacteria; Bacillati; Bacillota; Bacilli; Caryophanales; Staphylococcaceae. The record is from RNAcentral.
AGGGGCAAUGGGGGGUGCCUAUACAUGGCAGUCGAGCGAACAGAUGAGAAGCUUGCUUCUCUGAUGUUAGCGGCGGAGGGAGAGGGCACGUGGGUAACCUACCUAUAAGACUGGGAUAACUCCGGGAAACCGGGGCUAAUACCGGAUAAUAUUUUGAACCGCAUGGUUCAAUAGUGAAAGACGGUUUCGGCUGUCACUUAUAGAUGGACCCGCGCCGUAUUAGCUAGUUGGUAAGGUAACGGCUUACCAAGGCGACGAUACGUAGCCGACCUGAGAGGGUGAUCGGCCACACUGGAACUGAGACACGGUCCAGACUCACGGGGAGGGCAGUCAAGUAGGGCAUCUUCCGCAAUUGGCGAAGCCUGACGAGCAACGCGGCUGAGUGGAUGAAAGUCUCCGAUCGUACAGCUUGUGUUAGGGAACGAACCAAAUUGUAGUAACUGAACAAGUUCUGACCGGUAACCUAACCAGAAGGCCACGGCUAACUACGUGCCCAGCCAGACGCGGUAUACGGUAGGUGGCAAGCGUAUCCGGAAAUUAUUGGGGCGGUAAAGCGGCGGCGUAGGCGGUUCUUAAAGUUCUGAUGGUGAAAGCCCCACGGCUCCACCGUGGAGGGGUCAUUGGAAACUGGGAAACCUGAGUGCAGAAGAGGAGAGUGGAAUUCCAUGUGUAGCGGUGAAAUGCGCAGAGAUAUGGAGGAACACCAGUGGCGAAGGCGGCUCUCUGGUCUGUAACUGACGCUGAUGUGCGAUAGCGUGGGGAUCAAACAGGAUUAGAUACCCUGGUAGUCCACGCCGUAAACGAUGAGUGCUAAGUGUUAGGGGGUUUCCGCCCCCUUAGUGCUGCAGCUAACGCAUUAAGCACUCCGCCUGGGGAGUACGACCGCAAGGUUGAAACUCAAAGGAAUUGACGGGGACCCGCACAAGCGGUGGAGCAUGUGGUUUAAUUCGAAGCAACGCGAAGAACCUUACCAAAUCUUGACAUCCUUUGACCGCUCUAGAGAUAGAGUCUUCCCCUUCGGGGGACAAAGUGACAGGUGGUGCAUGGUUGUCGUCAGCUCGUGUCGUGAGAUGUUGGGUUAAGUCCCGCAACGAGCGCAACCCUUAAGCUUAGUUGCCAUCAUUAAGUUGGGCACUCUAGGUUGACUGCCGGUGACAAACCGGAGGAAGGUGGGGAUGACGUCAAAUCAUCAUGCCCCUUAUGAUUUGGGCUACACACGUGCUACAAUGGAUAAUACAAAGGGCAGCGAAUCCGCGAGGCCAAGCAAAUCCCAUAAAAUUAUUCUCAGUUCGGAUUGUAGUCUGCAACUCGACUACAUGAAGCUGGAAUCGCUAGUAAUCGUAGAUCAGCCUGCUACGGUGAAUACGUUCCCGGGUCUUGUACACACUGUUUGUCCCCACGAGAGUUUGUAACACCCGAAGCCGGUGGAGUAACCUUUAGAGCUAGCCGUCGAAAGUGGAACACCUAGUUG